RNAcentral lists this ribosomal RNA (254 nucleotides) under uncultured bacterium. RNAcentral's name for it is "partial 16S ribosomal RNA". It matches the Rfam family "Bacterial small subunit ribosomal RNA", at positions 524 to 777 of the family's 1533-position model. The record is from RNAcentral.
UACGAAGGGGGCUAGCGUUGCUCGGAAUUACUGGGCGUAAAGCGCACGUAGGCGGAUCUUUAAGUCAGGGGUGAAAUCCUGGAGCUCAACUCCAGAACUGCCUUUGAUACUGAGGACCUUGAGUUCGGGAGAGGUGAGUGGAACUGCGAGUGUAGAGGUGAAAUUCGUAGAUAUUCGCAAGAACACCAGUGGCGAAGGCGGCUCACUGGCCCGGUACUGACGCUGAGGUGCGAAAGCGUGGGGAGCAAACAGGG